Vitis riparia (riverbank grape) is the source of this 472-nucleotide long non-coding RNA. RefSeq lists it as uncharacterized. NCBI's taxonomy places the organism in Eukaryota, Viridiplantae, Streptophyta, Magnoliopsida, Vitales, Vitaceae. The record is from RefSeq and is a predicted model, not a curated record. The transcript is spliced from 3 exons.
AAUAAUAAUAAUAAUCUACAGGUAAAUUAAAACAUGUGGAGUUAAAAAAUGAAAAAAGUUCCACGAAGGAAGAGCCACAAGAUGAGAAGGCUGGUGCAGUUGAUCAGAUCAAGAAGAAAUAUGGGUUUCCUAUAUCUGGUGAAUCAAGUGUCAUUAAAAUGGCAGAAAGCAAGCUGAACGAGAAUUUGAGGAAGUUGCAGGGUAUCAGCAUAAAAACGACAGAGAUGCAAGACACGGCUAAAUCAUUUUCAUUCAUGGCAAAGCAGGUCCUGCGAGCCGAACAAGAUAAGCAAAGCUCAUAAUCCUCCAUUGCCUUCAUACACAUGAAUUGGUUAUUAAUUACGCUUUGUGUUUGUGUGUGUUUUCAUUUUUUCAUUUAAUUUAUUUUGCAUGUAUAUUCAUCAUGCAUGUAAGUGGCAUAAAAUGUGUGGCAGCAUAAGCAGGUAUAUUUUGUAAAGGAUUGCUUUUGGUU